AUUAAGGAAGGCACAUUGUCCUUGUAACGGGGAUCCAGCAGGUUGGCCACCCAGUAAUCAGCACAAGUUAGAUUGAGGGCAACUCGGCAGUCGUUGCGCAGGCACUUUGGUGACUCUAGAUAAGCUCGGGCCGAUUGCACGUCCCCAUGACAGCGACGACGCAUUCGGAUGUCUGCCCUAUCAACUUUCAGUGGUACUUUCUGUGCCUACCAUGGUGACCACAGGUAAUGGGCAAUCAGGGUUCGAUUCUG
This is a non-coding RNA of Pelobates cultripes (western spadefoot toad), 251 nucleotides long. The record is from the annotation of a GenBank genome assembly. NCBI's taxonomy places the organism in Eukaryota, Metazoa, Chordata, Amphibia, Anura, Pelobatidae.